AGCGAACGCUGGCGGCAGGCCUAACACAUGCAAGUCGAGCGAACCUUUCGGGGUUAGUGGCGGACGGGUGAGUAACACGUGGGAACGUGCCUUUAGGUUCGGAAUAACUCAGGGAAACUUGUGCUAAUACCGAAUGUGCCCUUCGGGGGAAAGAUUUAUCGCCUUUAGAGCGGCCCGCGUCUGAUUAGCUAGUUGGUUGAGGUAAUGGCUCACCAAGGCGACGAUCAGUAGCUGGUUUGAGAGGAUGAUCAGCCACAUUGGGACUGAGACACGGCCCAAACUCCUACGGGAGGCAGCAGUGGGGAAUCUUGCGCAAUGGGCGAAAGCCUGACGCAGCCAUGCCGCGUGAAUGAUGAAGGUCUUAGGAUUGUAAAAUUCUUUCACCGGGGACGAUAAUGACGGUACCCGGAGAAGAAGCCCCGGCUAACUUCGUG
RNAcentral lists this ribosomal RNA (434 nucleotides) under uncultured bacterium. RNAcentral's name for it is "partial 16S ribosomal RNA". It matches the Rfam family "Bacterial small subunit ribosomal RNA", at positions 29 to 507 of the family's 1533-position model. The record is from RNAcentral.